This 490-nucleotide ribosomal RNA is filed under the name uncultured bacterium. RNAcentral's name for it is "bacterial SSU rRNA". It matches the Rfam family "Bacterial small subunit ribosomal RNA", at positions 28 to 507 of the family's 1533-position model. The record is from RNAcentral.
GAUGAACGCUAGCUACAGGCUUAACACAUGCAAGUCGAGGGGAAACGACAGUAAAGCUUGCUUUAUUGGGCGUCGACCGGCGCACGGGUGCGUAACGCGUAUCCAACCUGCCCCCAACUCCGGAAUAGUCCCCCGAAAGGGGGGUUAACGCCGGAUGCUGCAAUUUUUCCGCAUGGUGGAAUUGCGAAAUGAAAAAGGUUGGGGCUGGGGAUGCGUCCCAUUAGGUAGUAGGCGGGGUAACGGCCCACCUAGCCGACGAUGGGUAGGGGUUCUGAGAGGAAGGUCCCCCACAUUGGAACUGAGACACGGUCCAAACUCCUACGGGAGGCAGCAGUGAGGAAUAUUGGUCAAUGGGCGAGAGCCUGAACCAGCCAAGUAGCGUGUGGGACGAAUGCCCUAUGGGGUUGUAAACCACUUUUGCAGGAGGGUAAAAUGCUUCACGUGUGGAGUAUUGCAAGUAUCCUGCGAAUAAGGACCGGCUAAUUCCGUG